GUCUCGUCUGCCGUGAAAAUCCGGGGCUCAACUCCGGAUCUGCGGUGGGUACGGGCAGACUAGAGUGAUGUAGGGGAGACUGGAAUUCCUGGUGUAGCGGUGAAAUGCGCAGAUAUCAGGAGGAACACCGAUGGCGAAGGCAGGUCUCUGGGCAUUAACUGACGCUGAGGAGCGAAAGCAUGGGGAGCGAACAGGAUUAGAUACCCUGGUAGUCCAUGCCGUAAACGUUGGGCACUAGGUGUGGGGGACAUUCCACGUUUUCCGCGCCGUAGCUAACGCAUUAAGUGCCCCGCCUGGGGAGUACGGCCGCAAGGCUAAAACUCAAAGGAAUUGACGGGGGCCCGCACAAGCGGCGGAGCAUGCGGAUUAAUUCGAUGCAACGCGAAGAACCUUACCAAGGCUUGACAUGGACCGGACCGGGCUGGAAACAGUCCUUCCCCUUUGGGGCCGGUUCACAGGUGGUGCAUGGUUGUCGUCAGCUCGUGUCGUGAGAUGUUGGGUUAAGUCCCGCAACGAGCGCAACCCUCGUUCCAUGUUGCCAGCGCGUAAUGGCGGGGACUCAUGGGAGACUGCCGGGGUCAACUCGGAGGAAGGUGGGGACGACGUCAAAUCAUCAUGCCCCUUAUGUCUUGGGCUUCACGCAUGCUACAAUGGCCGGUACAAAGGGUUGCGAUACAUGUGAGGUGGAGCU
RNAcentral lists this ribosomal RNA (691 nucleotides) under uncultured bacterium. Its description in RNAcentral is "bacterial SSU rRNA". It matches the Rfam family "Bacterial small subunit ribosomal RNA", at positions 582 to 1269 of the family's 1533-position model. The record is from RNAcentral.